RNAcentral lists this ribosomal RNA (260 nucleotides) under uncultured bacterium. RNAcentral describes it as "partial 16S ribosomal RNA". It matches the Rfam family "Bacterial small subunit ribosomal RNA", at positions 79 to 339 of the family's 1533-position model. The record is from RNAcentral.
CUAAGACUGAUGGCGACCGGCGCACGGGUGAGUAACACGUAUCCAACCUGCCGUCUACUCUUGGACAGCCUUCUGAAAGGAAGAUUAAUACAAGAUGGCAUCAUGAGUUCACAUGUUCACAUGAUUAAAGGUAUUCCGGUAGACGAUGGGGAUGCGUCUGAUUAGCUUGUUGGCGGGGUAACGGCCCACCAAGGCGACGAUCAGUAGCCGGACUGAGAGGUUGACCGGCCACAUUGGGACUGAGAUACGGCCCAGACUCC